Molecule: long non-coding RNA, 1098 nt
Organism: Schistocerca piceifrons (Central American locust)
Lineage: Eukaryota; Metazoa; Arthropoda; Insecta; Orthoptera; Acrididae
Exons: 3
Source: RefSeq, a predicted model, not a curated record
ACUUCAGAUGCGUCUAAUGUUUGUUUUGCAUCCCUUUCCUAUGUGAUUUACGAAAUAUUUGAAUUACUUUUUUGGCUUCCAGAGUUUGUGUAAAUGUCGGAAGGCAUAGAUGUUUCUAAAAAUGAUUCUAAAAUAAGCGCAAGUAGGGAUAAAAAUAAUGAAUCUAGUGGCAAGUUACAAUACAUUCGUGAAGAAACACUUGUGACUUUGGAUAGAACUGCAGAUUACCGCGUAGAUAUCAACGUAAUGGUGUAGAGGGCCUAUUAUGCUGCUGCGAAAUGCAAUAAAGGGAAAAAAAACACAUAAGAAGCACAGACAUGUACUCUACACGCAAAAGGGAUUGAAGCCCCAUUUGUGGUUCCGUAGACCGCUGUGUUUCAGUCACUGUCGCCUGUUGCCACAAAUUCAUGGAUCCCGAGAACAGCGUGGCCACAACAGGUGCCUGAGGGUGUCAUGACGACAUCGCGGGACGACCCCAUGGAGACGGAGCCUUUGCCUCCUCCGCGUCCUCUAGUCUUACCGAUGGAGCUAGCUGACGCCUUCUACUUCUUGUUGUGGACCUCUGGAGGUGGACGCGUACCCUUCUGGGCGUUUUCUGGGGGUCGUUUCCACCAGAGUGAAGGCCGGACGACGGGGUACGACAGGGAGCGUGACGACCCCUGCAGCCACAGCUUCCGGUACCUCAGAGCAUCUACGCUCCCGUCUCCCCCGCUGUAGUCGUGCUCCCUAUACGACUAGGGGGGGGGGGGGGGGUGAGGAGGGGGAUGUUACGGCGUAAAGUCAAGCGCUGGCACGCUAGUCGGGAACGACAAGGAAGAGAAGGCUGUGAGAAGAAGUCCGUCAAUCGCACGCCGAUCGGACCUCCUUCUAGGACGACAACGUGACAGCAGCGGCCCCUAUGUGAAGAUAUGAAGAAGGCAUAAGCACCAUGACCGACUGGUGACGGCCCCAGUUCAAUAGCAACUUCAAGACUAUUGGCUUGGAUAGCAGCUUCAACGCUAGAUCACUUCGCUUGUACUCUCUAUGUAGUACAAACUUGAGAUUGUCUAUACUGAAGAAAAUUGCUUAUUUUGUAUGUCGCCCUUUGCUUGCGACACA